This is a non-coding RNA of Manis javanica (Malayan pangolin), 722 nucleotides long. The record is from RefSeq and is a predicted model, not a curated record. NCBI's taxonomy places the organism in Eukaryota, Metazoa, Chordata, Mammalia, Pholidota, Manidae.
CUGGUGCCACUUACACCGAGGGCAUAUCUGAAUUCCACUAGCCUCAGAUCAUGUGCAUAGGUCAGGGGCCACCACCUCGGCCUGGAAAGCCCCAGAAGAUGCUGCUAUUACUAUUCCACUGAUGCAGUUGUUUUCCAAGGGGUCCCCUGGCCUUGACCUUCCAGGAAGUCCUGCUCACCACUUUCUCUGGCCACAAAUAGAAGAGAGAGCCCUGCCCCAAGGUCUUUCAUAUGUACCAGAGGAGCUUGGUCACAAGAAGUUGCUGCUGACUCCCUCAGGAUUCUGCUGGGCUGUGCUUCAGCGGUCACCUCGAGUUGAAAAGGAAUGGUAGACUCUGUGGAAUUACAGCACCGAGUUGCAAAUGGUGCACAAAAUACAAGUCCCGCACCAGUGCACCAGGAGCCGUCUGAUGUGAGUUGCAGGUCACCUUAGUCAAUUAGGUAACUUUGUAACCAGGAUGAGAGACAGACCUCUGGAGCAUAAACGAACCUACGUGGGUGAAGAAUGCCAAGAUCUGGAUCAACAUACUCACCUAAAAACCCUAUUCUUAAUAUGAAAACUCAAAGGAAUUAUUAUCACCUAAAUACACCGUGCCUUAUGCUGACCCUUACUCAAAAGACACUAUAAAACCCCAACCCCUAAACCCUUAUGCACACCUCCUCCCUGAGGUCACCCACACUCGCGUCUGAGUUUGUACUGUCUUAUCAAAUAAACGUUCUGAU